Molecule: ribosomal RNA, 497 nt
Filed under: uncultured bacterium
Lineage: Bacteria
Description: partial 16S ribosomal RNA
Rfam family: Bacterial small subunit ribosomal RNA
Source: RNAcentral
GAUGAACGCUGGCGGCGUGCCUAAUACAUGCAAGUCGAGCGAACAGACGAGGAGCUUGCUCCUUUGACGUUAGCGGCGGACGGGUGAGUAACACGUGGGGAACCUACCUAUAAGACUGGGAUAACUUCGGGAAACCGGAGCUAAUACCGGAUAAUAUUUCGAACCGCAUGGUUCGAUAGUGAAAGAUGGCUUUGCUAUCACUUAUAGAUGGACCUGCGCCGUAUUAGCUAGUUAGUAAGGUAACGGCUUACCAAGGCAACGAUACGUAGCCGACCUGAGAGGGUGAUCGGCCACACUGGAACUGAGACACGGUCCAGACUCCUACGGGAGGCAGCAGUAGGGAAUCUUCCGCAAUGGGCGAAAGCCUGACGGAGCAACGCCGCGUGAGUGAUGAAGGUCUUCGGAUCGUAAAACUCUGUUAUUAGGGAAGAAUAAACGUGUAAGUAACUGUGCACGUCUUGACGGUACCUAAUCAGAAAGCCACGGCUAACUACGUG